GACAGGUGUCACACUUGUCACAUGGAAGUAGCAAAGCUGGAGGGGACUGCCGGAGGGGCAAUCCCUGCCCACCCCCUGCCCUUCAUGACAUUCUGGGAGGGAGGGAUGUUUGCUGAGCCCAGAUUCCAGCCUCCCCCCACCACACACACAGGUGAGUCUUGGGGCCCCAGGUCAGGAGACCUGCAGGAGAUUGGUCAGCUGGACCCUGCUGAGUCACCCUGAGCUCCCCUGCCCUGAGGCCUGACCACUCCUAGCCAGGUCAUGUGGGAGUAGAUUUCUUUCACGUCGCGCCGCAUGUUGAGCUCCAGGAAUUGCACCUUGAUGUAGUUGCCCGCGUCCUCACGUCCUUCUUGUUGAGGAAGAGGACGAUGGACGUGGUGGCGAAGUAGCGGUGGUUGCAGAUGCUGUUGAACAGCACCAUGUCGUAAGCGCUGAGCGCCGCGAUGAAGAUAAUGCAGGUCACGCCCUCGAAGCAGUGGAUCCACUUCUUGCGCUCCGAGCGCUGCCCGCCCACGUCGAACAUCCUGCGGGGCCGUGGGGACCUGAACCCGCGCCCCGAG
Molecule: long non-coding RNA, 560 nt
Organism: Echinops telfairi (small Madagascar hedgehog)
Lineage: Eukaryota; Metazoa; Chordata; Mammalia; Afrosoricida; Tenrecidae
Exons: 4
Source: RefSeq, a predicted model, not a curated record